GACGAACGCUGGCGGCGUGCCUAAUACAUGCAAGUAGAACGCUGAAGAGAGGAGCUUGCUCUUCUUGGAUGAGUUGCGAACGGGUGAGUAACGCGUAGGUAACCUGCCUUGUAGCGGGGGAUAACUAUUGGAAACGAUAGCUAAUACCGCAUAACAAUGGAUGACACAUGUCAUUUAUUUGAAAGGGGCAAUUGCUCCACUACAAGAUGGACCUGCGUUGUAUUAGCUAGUAGGUGAGGUAAUGGCUCACCUAGGCGACGAUACAUAGCCGACCUGAGAGGGUGAGAGGCAACACUGGGACUGAGACACGGCCCAGAAUCCUACGGGAGACAGCAGUAGGGAAUCUUCGGCAAUGGGGGCAACCCUGACCGAGCAACGCCGCGUGAGUGAAGAAGGUUUUCGGAUCGUAAAGCUCUGUUGUAAGUCAAGAACGGGUGUGAGAGUGGAAAGUUCACACUGUGACGGUAGCUUACCAGAAAGGGACGGCUAACUACGUG
RNAcentral lists this ribosomal RNA (497 nucleotides) under uncultured bacterium. RNAcentral describes it as "partial 16S ribosomal RNA". It matches the Rfam family "Bacterial small subunit ribosomal RNA", at positions 28 to 507 of the family's 1533-position model. The record is from RNAcentral.